Molecule: ribosomal RNA, 427 nt
Filed under: uncultured bacterium
Lineage: Bacteria
Description: partial 16S ribosomal RNA
Rfam family: Bacterial small subunit ribosomal RNA
Source: RNAcentral
UGGGGAAUAUUGGACAAUGGGCGAAAGCCUGAUCCAGCCAUGCCGCGUGUGUGAAGAAGGUCUUCGGAUUGUAAAGCACUUUAAGUUGGGAGGAAGGGCAUUAACCUAAUACGUUAGUGUUUUGACGUUACCGACAGAAUAAGCACCGGCUAACUCUGUGCCAGCAGCCGCGGUAAUACAGAGGGUGCAAGCGUUAAUCGGAAUUACUGGGCGUAAAGCGCGCGUAGGUGGUUCGUUAAGUUGGAUGUGAAAUCCCCGGGCUCAACCUGGGAACUGCAUUCAAAACUGACGAGCUAGAGUAUGGUAGAGGGUGGUGGAAUUUCCUGUGUAGCGGUGAAAUGCGUAGAUAUAGGAAGGAACACCAGUGGCGAAGGCGACCACCUGGACUGAUACUGACACUGAGGUGCGAAAGCGUGGGGAGCAAACA